UGAGUAAGUUAGAUGAUCGCGGCUGCCGUUUGGCAGACGAGGAAAGUCCGAGCUCCGGAGGGCAGGGUGCUGGGUAAUACCCAGUGGAGGUGACUCCAAGGAAAGUGCAACAGAGAUAUACCGCAACCCUGGAUAUUAGAUAAUAUCUAAUUUCUAGGAUGUAAGGGUGGAAAGGUGAGGUAAGAGCUCACCAGCAUCCAGGCGACUGGAUUGGCUAUGUAAACCCCAUCUGGAGCAAGACCGAAUAGAGGACAUGAAAGCGGUUGCCCGCCGCGUCCCGGGAAAGGUCGCUUGAGCCUGUUGGCAACAUCAGGCCUAGACAGAUGAUCAUUCAUGACAGAACUCGGCUUACCGACUUAUCUCACAUU
RNAcentral lists this RNase P RNA (368 nucleotides) under Bacillota bacterium. Its description in RNAcentral is "RNase P RNA component class A". It matches the Rfam family "Bacterial RNase P class A". From Rfam's summary of the family: Ribonuclease P (RNase P) is a ubiquitous endoribonuclease, found in archaea, bacteria and eukarya as well as chloroplasts and mitochondria. Its best characterised activity is the generation of mature 5'-ends of tRNAs by cleaving the 5'-leader elements of precursor-tRNAs. Lineage: Bacteria; Bacillati; Bacillota. The record is from RNAcentral.